Molecule: ribosomal RNA, 506 nt
Filed under: uncultured bacterium
Lineage: Bacteria
Description: bacterial SSU rRNA
Rfam family: Bacterial small subunit ribosomal RNA
Source: RNAcentral
GAUCCUGGCUCAGGAUGAACGCUGGCGGCGUGCUUAAUACAUGCAAGUCGAACGAAGACUUCUCGCUGAAUUGAAUUCAUUCUUUCUUGAGAUGUCUUAGUGGCGGACGGGUGAGUAACGCGUGGGUAACCUGCCUUACACAGGGGGAUAACAGUUAGAAAUGACUGCUAAUACCGCAUAAGCGCACAGUAUCGCAUGAUACAGUGUGAAAAACUCCGGUGGUGUAAGAUGGGACCCGCGUCUGAUUAGCUAGUUGGUGAGGUAACGGCCCACCAAGGCGACGAUCAGUAGCCGGCCUGAGAGGGUGAACGGCCACAUUGGGACUGAGACACGGCCCAAACUCCUACGGGAGGCAGCAGUAGGGAAUAUUGGACAAUGGGGGAAACCCUGAUCCCAGCGACGCCGCGUGAGUGAAGAAGUAUUUCGGUACGUAAAGCUCUAUCAGCAGGGAAGAAAAUGACGGUACCUGACUAAGAAGCACCGGCUAAAUACGUGCCAGCCGCUGC